RNAcentral lists this ribosomal RNA (441 nucleotides) under uncultured bacterium. Its description in RNAcentral is "partial 16S ribosomal RNA". It matches the Rfam family "Bacterial small subunit ribosomal RNA", at positions 338 to 795 of the family's 1533-position model. The record is from RNAcentral.
CCUACGGGUGGCAGCAGUGGGGGAUAUUGCACAAUGGGGGAAACCCUGAUGCAGCGACGCCGCGUGGGUGAAGAAGUAUUUCGGUAUGUAAAGCCCUAUCAGCAGGGAAGAAAGAAGUCGUUACCUGACUAAGAAUCACCGGCUACCCACGUGCCAGCAGCCGCGGGAAUACGCAGGGGGCCAGCGUUACCCGGAUUCACUGGGUGUAAAGGGACCGUAGACGGCCGUGGAAGCCAGGAGUGAAAGCCCGGGGCCCAACCCGGGGACUGCUUCUGAAACUGUGCAGCUGGAGUGAGGGAGAGGGAGGCGGAAUUCCUGGUGUAGCGGUGAAAUGCGUAGAUAUCAGGAGGAACACCGGUGGCGAAGGCGGCCUGCUGGACCGCGACUGACGUUGAGGCUCGAAAGCGUGGGGAGCAAACAGGAUUAGAUACCCUAGUAGUC